UGCCAUGGUGACUCAGAGUUGAGGCCAAUGGCGGCUCCACCAUCCUGUGGCUAUGAUUCCUGAACUUGUGGUCUCCUCAGUUGAUGAGGUGAAGAAAGAAAGCCUGGAGAAUUAUGCACGAGCUUCUCACUGUCUCAGCCCACAAGUAACACACCUCUUUCCCUCACAGCCCACACUGGCUGGAACCAAUCACAUAGCCCUGCCUAACUGCAAGGGAGGCCAGAAAGUGCAACACUUUCUCAUGGUCACGGGUGAGCACGAAACAUCUCUCCAAAUAUGGGUUGGGAAGAUUAAGAGACUAGUCCAGAAGAAAACAGUCUCCAGGGAGAAAUAUAUCUGGGAAUAGGAAUCGAGAAAGCAACCAAGAGAGCAGAACUGAGUGGAUGAGAGGAACUGUCAGACCACAUCUGCAGCUCUGAUUAGUCAAAUCCGAAAUGUGCCUGUUGAUCUACUAUUCCGUGGAAAUACUGGAAUCACCAGCUCAAUAAUAAGAGGAAACACUGUGACAAGGCUACGAGGUCACAAAGGGAAGAACAAGGAACUCUGGCUGGCGGUGAGAGUUUUCAGUGAAGUAACAAUAUCUGACUAGGGUUUUGAAGAAUGAGCAGAAGCUCUGCGUCAGAUGAAGAAGAGACAGGAGGCCCUCCAAGCAAAGGAACCACUCAUGUCAAGACAUGGGGCAAAAAGAGAGGAUGUAUUUGGAGAACAGAGAGUAACCGAAGGCUAUCAUUCAAUCAGUGAUAGUCUUCAUGGAGGUUAAUAUCAAAGGCAACCUGAAUUUCCUCAGACUUCAUGAGCUGGCGGUGAAGGGUGAGAUCACACAAGCAGUAAUAACCCAGCUCUCCCUGGCUCACUGCCUUACUUACUGGCCUUCUGGUACUCAGCAAAGCUGUCCCCAUGAGUUUGGGAGUCUCCAUUCCUGUCCUUCCACUCCCCUCAAACGUCUUUCAUUCAAGGUCACGUGGUAACUUGACUCCUCUCACCACUACUUCUGUGGGAAUGCAGAGGCCAGGCCAGAGCCUGUGGGUGCUGCCCUCCCCAGAGACUUCACUAUGCCCAGCUCCAGGGAGGACUGACUGGAGGAGGGGACCAGGCAUCUCCCCUGCACUCUGGGCCCACAGCAACCCUGUAUACCAGCCCGUAUUAACCUUGCAACGCCUUCCUCCAAAAGGCUGAGACUUCAACCACAGGACCUGGGUGGUGAUCACCACAAAAUUUCUUCCUGAACGUUCUUCUCCAACAACUUCUCACAUUCAGUUAUUCAUUCAACAAACAUUGAGCAACAACCUAAUCUUCUGGGCUCUGGAGACCGAGUUAAAAAGGAGACAGCAGGCCCCUGCCCCCGCUUCCCGACAGGUCACCACAUCUUGAGUGCUAAGACUGUCAUCACAGGGUGAGGAGGGGAAAUGAGCUCAGAGGGGCAGAACCUUCUGAAAGGGCAGAAUGGUUCAAGCAUCCCGCCAAGGUCAGAAGGCGCUGGAUCCAGGGCAAAAAUGAAGACAUAAGGGACCUUAGGUGACAAGGAAGAAGCUCCCAGGCAGCAUGUGGGAUGGACCCAAGGAGAACGUCAGAGAGAAAGAGUUCAGUCUGGUGUCUCCUGAAGCAGGUUAAAAUUAAGCUCGGCAGGCUCGACGUAAAUGUGCAGACAAAGCAAAGCAGGAAGCCUCCCACACUAAAAAGGGAAGAUAAGAAUCACAGAAGCUGGGAUGGUUUUUAUUGAAGGGCAUUUCAAAGCAAAUACAGACAUCUACAGCAUAUUUGUAAAUCCUCCGUAUGUGUAUGGAAACACACACCUUCACACAUCAAAACUGGAUUUGUUCCUGAGUAACAAAACGUCCUAAGAACAAAAUGAAAGAAAACCAAAUAGCAGAAAAAUACUUCCAAUGUAUAUACCACAAAGGAUUAUUUAUCAACUCAACACACCAAGAGUUAAGAAAAUAAUGCAACAGGAACAAAGGGCAAAGGAUAUGUACUGGGAAGACCACAGAGAAAGAAAAUGCAAAUGGCUAAUAAUAUAAAAUAUUUCCUAGGUUCAAUAGUAAUCAGGGAAAGACAAAAUUACACUUUUGACCUCUUAGACUGGCAGUGACAAAGAUUAUUUGAGUGACCAAGCUUUAGUCAGGCUCCUGGAUCUUCUAGGCCCAUCUGGGCACUUCCUCGUAAAAUACAGUUUUAACAAAAGCCCUGCUAAAUUGGUUUACCGAGAACUCCCACCCUCAAUCGAGUUCCUUAGCCCUUCACCUUUCCUCAGGUGAGGGCUGAUCAUCCUGUCCUGUCUUCAGCAAGACUGCUCUAACGCUGACGUUUCCUUUUAGUAAUUUUCCAUCCACUGACACCCACUUGUAAUUUAUAGCCAAGGAGCAAGAUACACUGCUCCUUGGCUAUAAGUUAUUUUCCCUGUUACAUUCAGAGUUGAGCCCAAUCCCACUCCCCGACUACAAAAUCGAUAGCAGUGGUCCCUAUACCUAUUGCAAUGGUCCUAAAUAAAACCUGCCUUACCGUGCUUGAA
This 2509-nucleotide long non-coding RNA is filed under the name Homo sapiens (human). RNAcentral's name for it is "HSALNT0337565". The record is from RNAcentral. Lineage: Eukaryota; Metazoa; Chordata; Mammalia; Primates; Hominidae.